UACAGAGGUGGCAAGCGUUGUUCGGAAUUACUGGGCGUAAAGGGCGCGUAGGCGGCCUUCUAAGUCAGACGUGAAAUCCCCCGGCUUAACCUGGGAACUGCGUCUGAUACUGGGAGGCUUGAGUAUGGGAGAGGGAUGUAGAAUUCCAGGUGUAGCGGUGAAAUGUGUUGAUAUCAGGAGGGACACCCAUGGCGAAGGCAGCAAACUGGGCAUCAACUGACGCUGAGGCGCGAAAGCGUGGGUAGCAAACAGG
RNAcentral lists this ribosomal RNA (253 nucleotides) under uncultured bacterium. RNAcentral's name for it is "partial 16S ribosomal RNA". It matches the Rfam family "Bacterial small subunit ribosomal RNA", at positions 524 to 776 of the family's 1533-position model. The record is from RNAcentral.